GAGCAGGAGCGGUGGAAAUAUUGCCACAAAGCCGUGGCCACAAAUUGGCUUGAUCGGUGCCGGCUUGAAGUCAAUUUGCGACGGCUUAGGCCCACGGAUCGUUCGAUCGAUCGAUCGAUUGGCAUCAGUCUGACUCUCAUCUGACUGAAAAUCGGAAAACUGACUUGCCGACUGACGGACUAAAUCUGCCGAGCAAGUACUAAGUACCUGGGGAUGAGGGACAAACGAGCCGCGAAAGUGCUCCACAAAACAUAUGGCACACAAUUAUCCAACUGACAGUGACGAUGUGUUAAGAAAUGCCAAAAUACAAGCGAGUUUUCGAGGUUGAGAACUAGGUGAUACUGUGGAAAUGUUGUUUAGUACUUUAAGUAAAGUAAAGUAAAUGUUCGAUUAACCUUUAUAUAACUAAUAACUAACUAGUUUCAGAAACAAUUAAAUAUGUAGAAACCAAUGCGGCUCACAUUGAAGCCUCCGAAAACCGCGAGAUGCAAUACACCCGCUUGAUACCCUUUCUCCUACAAAAACAAACACCGAAUAAUGGAAUAUGAAAAUGAUGAAGGAAGUUAAUGGAAAAUCUGUGGCACCCAAAGGCCAGGGCCACGGACUGGAAGCGGCAGCCGUGGAUGCAGCAGCAGCGGAUCCCAGGGAACCAGAGGCGGCACAUGGCGCCCCCUGUGCGGCAUUUAUCAUGGGGCCUCCGGAGCACUAUAUUUAGACGACGGGCUAAUGGAUGCAGCAGGGAAAAAUAGAGGCAGAUAGGUACAAUGGGUGAGGGAGCGGGUGGCAGGCAGAUCCGAUCCGAAGCGAACCGAACCGGCACAGGCCACACUUUCAAAUUCAUAUUUAUUGUCUAGGCUGCGGACUGAGUGCAUUUUUAUAUAUGGCAGUCCAUUUGCCGCCGACUCUCCCACCAGCUCCCAAAAACCAAAAU
Drosophila melanogaster (fruit fly) is the source of this 931-nucleotide non-coding RNA. The record is from Ensembl. NCBI's taxonomy places the organism in Eukaryota, Metazoa, Arthropoda, Insecta, Diptera, Drosophilidae.